GAUGAACGCUGGCGGCGUGCCUAAUACAUGCAAGUCGAGCGAACAGACGAGGAGCUUGCUCCUUUGACGUUAGCGGCGGACGGGUGAGUAACACGUAGGUAACCUACCUAUAAGACUGGGAUAACUUCGGGAAACCGGAGCUAAUACCGGAUAAUAUUUCGAACCGCAUGGUUCGAUAGUGAAAGAUGGCUUUGCUAUCACUUAUAGAUGGACCUGCGCCGUAUUAGCUAGUUGGUAAGGUAACGGCUUACCAAGGCAACGAUACGUAGCCGACCUGAGAGGGUGGACGGCCACACUGGAACUGGGACACGGGCCAGACUCCUACGGGAGGCAGCAGUAGGGAAUCUUCCGCAAUGGGCGAAAGCCUGACGGAGCAACGCCGCGUGAGUGAUGAAGGUCUUCGGAUCGUAAAACUCUGUUAUUAGGGAAGAACAAACGUGUAAGUAACUGUGCACGUCUUGACGGAACCUAAUCAGAAAGCCACGGCUAACUACGUG
RNAcentral lists this ribosomal RNA (497 nucleotides) under uncultured bacterium. RNAcentral describes it as "partial 16S ribosomal RNA". It matches the Rfam family "Bacterial small subunit ribosomal RNA", at positions 28 to 507 of the family's 1533-position model. The record is from RNAcentral.